This 83-nucleotide transfer RNA is filed under the name Botryosphaeria dothidea. Its description in RNAcentral is "tRNA-Leu". RNAcentral also lists the same sequence under 1 other name. The record is from RNAcentral. Lineage: Eukaryota; Fungi; Ascomycota; Dothideomycetes; Botryosphaeriales; Botryosphaeriaceae.
AUCCAAGUGCUGGAAGUGGUAGACAGGGAAAAUUUAAGCUUUUCUGAGAUAUUCUCGUGAACGUUCAAGUCGUUCUUUGGAUA